RNAcentral lists this long non-coding RNA (2077 nucleotides) under Hordeum vulgare. RNAcentral describes it as "long non-coding RNA (HVUL_LNC008402)". Lineage: Eukaryota; Viridiplantae; Streptophyta; Magnoliopsida; Poales; Poaceae. The record is from RNAcentral.
UCGUGUUUGCUAGCAUGUGGGUCUUUCUUGUGGCCCAAGCCGGUCUAUAGAUCUAGAUAGGGACACAUAGACUUGGUAGGGGCCACAUGACAUCUAGACUUGACUCCCAAGCCAAUGUUCACAUCUCUACGCUGCAACGUUCUUCACUUCUUCUUUCCCUGUGACCGCCUUCUAUCAAGCCAUUCAAGCCUCUGUCCUCACCCAAUCACGAUCUCCCCUUCUGCAAAUGGUGAUCCUCUUUUUUUAUGUCCUUUCUUUUCGCAGGCUUGGUGUUAAAUGUAUGGCUAUCGAAACAUCUCAAGCGAGCUUUGGUAUUUGUGUUUUCAAAAGAGGAGAGAUUAUCAACCCUUUUGUGCAAGCUCCAAAAAUAGCACACGACGGAAAAAUAGACACCUAGUAAAAUCGCUUAAAAGACUUAUAUUUUGGAACGGAGGGAGUACAUGUUAAUUAUCGGAGAAAUUCUUUGAAAGUUUCAGAGUUUUCAUGCAUGUCUCAAGAUGCUCUAAUUUUUGCAUGCUCAUGAGAUGUACCCCGGAAAAAGGUGUGUGAUGGCAAAAUGUUCUCGGUACCUAGCACUAGUAGACACAUUACGUUUUAUAGACAGCAAAGUCAUCAUUUUUAUUAUGUCUUUACUUUGCAAAGUCCUUGUGAACAUCAUGCUUUUAAUUUGCAAAGUCCUUGUGAUUGUUAUUAUGUCUUUGAUUUGCUUUCGGCUGCGUAAAAGCAAAUCAAAAAUUUCAAGUACAUCUAGUAGCAGCUACCGGGAAGGUUAGACACGCUACUAAUAUAUAAUCGGGGCGGGCCAUAGUUAAUCAGUUUCAUAGUACGUACGGCCGAGGUAGAUUUAAUGGUGGCGAGGACAUCAAACACCACGUCCGUCCGUACCGUAAGAUGCAUGAUGAUCGAUUCCCUAUCAUGGGCUAGUGAAGUACUCCUACUUAAUUUAGCCAGUGCAAUGAACGACCUUGCUCAAGGACAGACAUGCAUCAUGGAUGGCUGCGGAGGGAAAUUAUUUGAGUAUUUUUUUAUGAAAAAAACUUACUAUCUAUUCAUUUACAAUCAUGAUAGGACAACGAACAUCAGAAAUGAUAAAAAUUACUUCUAGGUGAGUAGGCCACCUAGCGAUGACUACAAACACGAACGUGUCAUUGUCAUUAUACCUCCCUCGGCGGAACCGGGCAAAACUUAUUAUAGUAGACAGUCGAAAAGUCGUCGUGUUAAGGUCCUAUAAAAACAACGCAUCAUAACAUCAACCACCAUUGACAAAGAGAAGUAUAAAUCAGCCGAAAGCAAAUUUAGCCUCCAUACUGAAGGAUUGAUCGGCCGGAAGCAAAUUAUUCGAACUUGAUAGCAGUUCUGCUUCAUAUUUAUUGCUUCCUCCAUUUCAAAACAAGCGUCGUGAUUAACAAAAACCAUGACACUUACUGUAUUUUGAAACAGAGGGGGUGUAGUAAUUAAUUCCACAAGCAAAGCCAGACUCCACGCAUACAUCCGAAGAUGGGUUCAGCUGAAUUUGUGUGGUUUUUGAUCGUCUGCAAAAAUAGGCACAAGAGAAAAAUGUUACUACAAAUUAAGCCGGGUGUGCAACUGGAAACACCUAGGAGUAUCCUUUGAUGGUCCAGCCGGAUAUGCUCUUGGAUGAAUUAGCCUAGGAAAUGGAGAUACCAAGACAAGCAACCGAUCGGGACCAGUAGCACGAGCAGCAGUUUUUUUUCUUCUUUUUUUGGACAGGUAGCACGAGCAGCAGUUAAUUAUAUGUCCAGAAAGUUGAACAGAGCAUUAGUUGUAAGAAGCACGGGGCUGUUGAAUGUGCGUGAUUCGUUGGCGAUCGACAUUACUUGGGCAAUAAUUUCUCCCUGGCAUGGCAAGCUGGUUUGGCUCAUCUCAUCUGCCGUUUUGCGUGCACGCGUCCGAUUGUCAAGGCCGAUCCGAUCUGAUCCUGACAGGUGAUGCAAGUCUUACCUAUAGUUCCUUUUGGACUGCGGGUGUCUUAGCUAUGAUCGUUGUUUAACAAGUGCACAAGAUUUGUAAUCAGCAUUGUUUCUUCUUCAUUUGGACUCUGAAAAACCGUCAGGGG